This 394-nucleotide ribosomal RNA is filed under the name uncultured bacterium. RNAcentral describes it as "bacterial SSU rRNA". It matches the Rfam family "Bacterial small subunit ribosomal RNA", at positions 358 to 769 of the family's 1533-position model. The record is from RNAcentral.
GGAAUCUUAGACAAUGGGCGCAAGCCUGAUCUAGCCAUGCCGCGUGAGUGAAGAAGGCCUUAGGGUCGUAAAGCUCUUUCGCCUGUGAAGAUAAUGACGGUAGCAGGUAAAGAAACCCCGGCUAACUCCGUGCCAGCAGCCGCGGUAAUACGGAGGGGGUUAGCGUUGUUCGGAAUUACUGGGCGUAAAGCGCGCGUAGGCGGGCUGGAAAGUUGGGGGUGAAAUCCCGGGGCUCAACCCCGGAACUGCCUCCAAAACUCCCAGCCUAGAGGUCGAGAGAGGUGAGUGGAAUUCCGAGUGUAGAGGUGAAAUUCGUAGAUAUUCGGAGGAACACAAGUGGCGAAGGCGGCUCACUGGCUCGAUACUGACGCUGAGGUGCGAAAGUGUGGGGAGC